Brassica napus (rape) is the source of this 3528-nucleotide long non-coding RNA. RefSeq lists it as uncharacterized. The record is from RefSeq and is a predicted model, not a curated record. Lineage: Eukaryota; Viridiplantae; Streptophyta; Magnoliopsida; Brassicales; Brassicaceae. The transcript has 2 exons.
GAUCCAAGAAAUAAUUAACAAAAUAACCAUGCUUUAGGAGCUUCGCGCGGGAUAUCUUGUUUGUUCUUAUGUGAGAUGACUAUUUAAUUGAGGUUAAAAACCUGAAAUAAUCUGUAUAUGUGACACAAUGGGUUGUAGGACAAUUUAGAUAUAUAAAGUCGUAUUAGUUGAAGUGUUAUAGUUACGGAAAGAUACAUGCUAAAAAUCAAUAUCUAAAGAUUGUACGUUUAGUCUUUUAACUUUGGAGCGUCUUUUAACCUUGGAGCAUUCAAACCCUUUCGAGCAUGUUAAGUUAUGUUUACAACAUUGAAAAUAUUGACCAUGCGCUUUGAUUCUAGGAGUACAUAAAAGAAAAACUGAGUUAGUAUUAAAAGUAAUAAAAACACCAAACAAUUUAUAGAGAGACUUUAUUGAAUCAUUUAGCAUACGAAACAAUAUAUUCCUUAGUUACAAUACCUAUAAGAACCUUCCCAUAGAAAUCGAAAUAGUUUGAAGGGUUAACAUGUUCUUUCUCAGCAACCUUGACACAUUGUUAUAUUGACUCAUCAUCAAAACACAAAACACAUAAAAAGAUGAGUGAAUUCAAUCAAAAUCAUACAAAGUGUUCGGCCUCUACGGUAGGAACCUUAGCCUUUAUGUGUCUCAUGCCAUGCGUUUGUUGUAAUGGUUUUCGAUAUACUUCUUAGUUGCAGCAUAUUUCUCCAUUGUUGAACUCAAAAUAAACUCUUCAUCCUCUGACGUUGGAGAUGGCAUAAUAUUUGCUACCAUCUGCUCUCCGUGAUCCGUUUCACAAUUCUACUUUUUUUUCUCCCAAAAACAUUAAAAAAUGUUGCUAUUUAUCUUCCAUUGGAUUUAUUUUUGUUGCAGCCAUCGAGGGAACGCCCAGAUGUCAUCUCUACUUUCUUAGUCUUUCCUUUUCGCAGGUGGUUUAAAUUUGCCGAUGAAUUUGUAAUUUCGGCUUACUCAUGGUAUUUAUUUUAGGUCAAACUUUAAACUUUGUAAUUUUUCUGUUUUCUUAAUUAUUAGAUUUUAUGAUUUGUUAAAAUAAAUGACUUUUAUAUGUACAACAUGUUAAAACAGAUUUUUAGUAUAACUUGAAAUUAAAUAAUAUUUAUUUAACAAAAUAUCAAAAAUUAGCCUUGAAAAUAUGAACAUGUAAAUAUAAUACUACUCCUAAAUUUAGUAAUACUAUUAGUUUUAAUAAAUUAUGUUCCAAUGCUUACGAUAUAUAGUAGGGGUGGGCCUUUUAUCUGAUACUUGAACCCGUAUCCUAACCCGACCCGAAAAACCCUAACCGAAAUCCGAACCGAUAUAGCAAAAUUCCUGAAUGGGUAUUAAUUUAGGAGAGAUUGGAUAUCCGAACUCAAAAGAAGGUAAUGUCCAAACCCGAAUGGAUAUCUGAAAAUAACUGAACAUAUGUAUACUUGUCCUUAUAUUUCUUGUUUACAUCUCUCAUUUUAUUUAGAGUAUUUAUAUUAAUGUUACACAUACUUUAAGAUAAUAUAAUUACAAAGAAAAUUAUUUGUCACUCAAUUAAAAUCCAUGUCAAGUUAUUUGUUUCAUGUAUUAACAAAAGUUACUUUCAAAAUUUCAAAACAAUAGACAAAUUAAUAUUUAUUUAUUUUUGAAAUGAUAUCUCCAAAUUUAUCAAUCAUUCAUUCUAUUAAAAAAUUAAAAAAUUAGUUAACUGAAAUCUCUGUAUUUUUAAAUAGAAUAAACCUAAAAAUGCAAAAUUAUUUUUUUUUUCAAAAUAUCAAUAUCCGAACCCAAUCCAAAAUAACCGAAUCCGAACUAAAAUACCCGAACCUGAUCCGAAUUAUAGAAAUACCGGAACGGGUUCAAUAUCCCUAUACCGAAAUACCUAACCCAAAUCCGAACGGGUAUCCGACAAAUAAUCUUUUGCAUUUUUUUAUGUACCCUUACUGUUUAAAAGUAAAAUUAUUUAUAUUUAUUUCAAACUUAUUAAUAUCAUUAAAUUAUGAAACUAAUAUGAAAAUUAUUUGACAUAUAUAUGGAUGAUGAUGAUUUAUUAGCGAAGGAGAAAAAGACGGUCUCCAUGUUUUAAUGUCAUUCUCGACUUUCCAUGUGGGGAAGAAACUUUAUAAUUUUAUACACCUCAGACCCAAAAUGCUAAUCUCUUUUGGCUUCUUCUUCGGUCUUCCCAGAUUCUCUGUAGAGGAGGAUCUAUGAAUCCAUCUCCUUCCCCUAUCUAAGCUUCUUCUUCUUCUUCUUUUCCAUCGGUUACUCUAUUUCAGAAGAUUUUUUUGACUGAAGGCAUUCACUCUGUUCCGGAAGCUUCCAGAAGCAUCAAUGGCCGAGAGUUUAUCUGUUUAUACGAAAAGGUUAUCUCUUUGUACCACUCUCAUCUAAUCUUUCGUGAUUUAAGCUAUAGGUUGCUCUGCAUGUUAGUUUUAUCAUUGGAAUCAACCUUCAAAAAUCUUCUCUUUUUUCUUUAUAAGAUUUAAAGUUAUGGUUUUUAAGCUCUAAAGGUUUACUUAUAUUCUCAGGCUUUAAUGUUUGAUGUAAACAAGACAGUGCAUAAAUUGUAGUAAAACAACCAAAGAGAUCACAUCUAUUCUUGAAGAUGAUAGUUUUAGUGUUUGCAAUGGUGUGUGGUCUCUACAUUUGCUCAGUCUGCUUAAACCAGUUUAGUGUCCAAACCUCACAACUUGUUCGAACUCGUAUCACUACUCGGAUUCAAUACCCAAAGCCAGAGACUUUCAAUAGGUAAGUAACUCUUCUUGUUUCUUUGUUUUCUGUGUUUGUUUAUUCACUUCUAACUUUGAAACUGAUCUGAAUGUGGGCAUAAUCCGGUGAGGUUCUUUGCGAUACUAUCAAUACAGAGAUCAGGAAGCAGUUGGUUUGAUAUCUCUCCACCGAUUCGUUACCUAGUGCUUGAAAAUAUGACGACCACGAAUCAGUUAAAUGGAGACGCUCUACUGCUUGUGUAGGUGGAAGCUCAAGCAACAACCGGAAACCUCGGUGUUAUCGAGAGUUAGCAUCGUUAUUUGUCAAAAUUGCUGCCGCGUAGGUGAAACGAUUCAAGAGAAACCCUCGAACAGAUCUAAGCAAAGCAUUGAAGACGAAUCGUGGAGGAGAGUCAAUAGGAUUUAACACGAAGCCAUUAAUCAAACCGUUGCAGGUCGGGAGAAGAAUCAAAAAAGUCACCCUAGCCGUCGCACGAAGAGAAGCGAUGAAUUUUGUUUUCUCGCUGCAGUCGUAUUAGGGAUAGGCGGAGCUCAUUAUCGUUGGACCGGAAACACUUCUAAUCUUAAAGCCCAUGAACACACUAAAGAACAAAACUGAAAAUACUGAAGUUUAAUGAAACGAUGCGGUUUGUCUUAUGGACACGUGUCACUACGAUAUGAAAGGACUUAUCUAUGUGGAUCCUAGGUGUCUCUCUAAGGAGAGAGCAAACCAUACUUUAUAUAUAAAGAUGUCAGUUUCCAGCGUGUGAACGUGUAAUAUUGCUUUAAAAUCCUUUUUUAUACAAAAAUGUAACUAUAAGAAAGAAAAUGAACUUCUUAA